Molecule: long non-coding RNA, 732 nt
Organism: Heterocephalus glaber (naked mole-rat)
Lineage: Eukaryota; Metazoa; Chordata; Mammalia; Rodentia; Bathyergidae
Source: RefSeq, a predicted model, not a curated record
GUGAGGCAGACACGCAGCGGGCUGCAAACUUCCCUCUUUUCCUUUUUAGCCAAGAGCGAAACACAAGCAGCCCAGAAACUCUCUCCCUUCCCCUGACCCUGCCAAUCUGAGUCUGAGGGGAACCCUGCAGCCCUGUGGCCCAUAACCCAGGGCACCCAUGCCCGCCGAGUCCUGAGACCAGACAGUGCCCCGCUGCCUGCCCUCCUCCCCCACUUCUCUCAAAUUCCUGAAGCAGAAAAAAGUCUGCCUGAGCAGCGGGGCUGAAAUCCCCAACUCUGUCACUUAGCCGGCGCGGUCCCCUACCGUAGGAGUCGUCUUGGUCCAGGAGGGAGUCGGGCUCCAUGGCGUGUGGGCCCCCAGCCCCUGGCCCCACCUAAUUUAUGAACCGAGGCUGUCUCCAUGAGCGUCUGGGUUUCUCCUUUUGUAUUCCAUCUGGCGGCUUUUCCAACUAGAUGACAGGCCUGGCUGGGAACAUUAGAAGGGACCGAGGCGGCGAGAUGUCUAAAAUAGGAAGACGCCGGGGAUGCUUGGCCUGGCUGCCCGCGAUGCUGGCUGCAGGGAUCUGGCCGGGCUGUGCAGAUGGAAAAGCUAAGAGCUGCCAUGAUAGAAACAGCUUCCCUCCACCAUGCCAUUAUGUUUCUCUCUCAUCUCAGGCCUAAAAGUCGUGGAAUCAGCUGACCAUGGACUGAAACCUCUGAAACCAUGAGCCAAAAUAAAUGUUUUCUACUUUAA